This 468-nucleotide ribosomal RNA is filed under the name uncultured bacterium. Its description in RNAcentral is "partial 16S ribosomal RNA". It matches the Rfam family "Bacterial small subunit ribosomal RNA", at positions 28 to 507 of the family's 1533-position model. The record is from RNAcentral.
GACGAACGCUGGCGGCGUGCUUAACACAUGCAAGUCGAACGGAAAGGCCCUGCUUUCGUGGGGUGCUCGAGUGGCGAACGGGUGAGUAACACGUGAGUAACCUGCCCUUGACUUUGGGAUAACUUCAGGAAACUGGGGCUAAUACCGGAUAGGAGCGCCGGCUGCAUGGCGGGGGUUGGAAAGUUUCGGCGGUUGGGGAUGGACUCGCGGCUUAUCAGCUUGUUGGUGGGGGAGUGGCUUACCAAGGCUUUGACGGGUAGCCGGCCUGAGAGGGUGACCGGCCACAUUGGGACUGCGAUACGGCCGAGACUCCUCCGGGCGGCAGCAGUGGGGAAUAGUGCACAAUGGGCGGAAGCCUGAUGCAGCAACGCCGCGUGCGGGAUGACGGCCUUCGGGUUGUCCCCCGCUUUCGCCUGUGACGAAGCGUGAGUGACGGUAAUGGGUAAAGAAGCACCGGCUAACUACGUG